GGCAGAGGAUCGAAUCGCGAGGGGUUUCAUUGUACUAGUAGGUAGGCAAGACGUACGGCAGUCAACUCAACCGGGAUGUCAGAUACCCCGCACCCAAAUCCUAUCUGUAUACCGGAGGCGGGUAAGAGGAAGGAAUCGUUCGUUUGAAACCAUUGCUCAGGAAGCUAAACGCUUCCGAACUCGUGUUGAAUCUAAAGGGAAGUCAAGGACAUUUCACUACAUGGCUUUUUUUGUCGGUGUCAUAACUUAAGGCCAGAUUUUUAUUUUUUGGGCAGUUAAAGCUGAAGGCGAACGUUAUUUUGAAAACAGGACGAGAUGUGAUGCAUCUAUCUGCAGUGCUCGGGAUGCCGAUUAACCCAACACACACUUUACAUGUAGUAAUUUUAUUAUCAAACAGCGUCGAGGCGACGUAAAACAAUCGGUCUCGAUUGAUUGGAGGGUACAUUGUUACAGCAGCUGGCAUUGAGUGCCACUAUUUUGCUCCAUGCCUUUUGGAAAGUGAAGAAUCCUCACGCACUCGUGACCCUAACCACACAGAUCAACGGCCAAUAAACUUUGAUUUUGGCCACAGACUCCAUCCAUGAGGUCGCCUGCAGACAUUUGACGAGCUCUCCAUAGAAGACCCCCCCCCUCCCAUCCCCUCCCACCCCCUUCCUGGAUCCUUUUGAUCUGCCCCCCCCUCCACCCCCCCUCCCCCUCUUCCAGACUCACCAUGCUGAUUAAGGAGUACCGCAUUCCUAUGCCCCUGAGCGUGGAAGAGUACCGCAUCGCCCAGCUCUACAUGAUCCAG
Molecule: long non-coding RNA, 790 nt
Organism: Osmerus eperlanus (European smelt)
Lineage: Eukaryota; Metazoa; Chordata; Actinopteri; Osmeriformes; Osmeridae
Exons: 2
Source: RefSeq, a predicted model, not a curated record